RNAcentral lists this long non-coding RNA (423 nucleotides) under Marmota monax (woodchuck). The record is from RNAcentral. Lineage: Eukaryota; Metazoa; Chordata; Mammalia; Rodentia; Sciuridae.
GUAAGAUCCUGUCUCAAAAUUUAAAAAAAAAUUAAGCUGGGCAUGGUGGUGUAUGCCUGUAAUCUUAGUGACUCCAGAGGCUGAGUGAGGCAGGAGGAUUGCAAGUACAAAGCCAGCCUCAGCAACUUAGCAAGGCCCCAUGGAACUUAGCGAGAUCUUGUCUCCAAGUAGUAUUAGUAGCAGCAGCAGCAGCAGCAGCAGUAGUAGUAAUCAUAAAAAACAACAUAGAAAGGACUGGGGAUGUCGUGGCUCAGUGGUAAAGUACCCCUGGCUUCAAUCUCCAGUAUCACUCAACCAAGCAGUCAACCAAUCAAUCAAUAAAAAAUAAAGAAAGGGUUGGAGAUGUAGCUGAGAAUUAGAGCACCUCUGUGAUUAAUUCCCCAGUACUGCCAAAACAAACACCAAAACAAAACAAAAGCAAAC